UUUGCUGAUCAUGUAGGUGUUCAUUAAAGCUCAUAUUAAAGUUGAGCGUUAUUGUAUCAAAAACCGAGAAAACUGAGGGAAAAUGGACUUUCUCAGCAAUAAUAUCAAUAAGUGAACAUAAACCCAGUGUGUCCAUCCACUGUCAUUGACCCAACUCCAUGGGUUUUACUGGUGAAUCCAUGUUGUAGAAGAUGAUUGUGUUUCCAUGGUAACUACAGAGCCUCUGAACGUCCAAAUGGAUCAUAUCUGAUGACCAUGAAAAGAAGAAGAACUGUGUUAUACACCAGUUAUGUCCAUGUUUCUAUAGGAUUAUGGUUCAACAGUUAUCACAUAUUCUAGAUGAGUAGAUGCUUUUGGUUUCCAGUGGCUGUUUGGGUCUUUAUGGGUUAAACAGCUGCGGACCCAGGAUUCACAUGUUUAAGAGGAAACUACAUUUAGGACAAAGGACACAGUGUUCCAGUUUUCAAAAAUUAAGUUCAGUAUCUAAAUGUAGUUUAAAAGAUGUGUACUCUACUACAUUAUUUAUGUUUUAUUGAAUGUCCACCUGCAGUACUGAAAGCUAAGAAUGCUUCAAAAAGGUCAUGUGACUGGAUUCAUCAGGACAGUAAAUAAUUAAAGUGCUCUGCAGAUUUC
Long non-coding RNA from Sphaeramia orbicularis (orbiculate cardinalfish), 633 nucleotides. RefSeq lists it as uncharacterized. The record is from RefSeq and is a predicted model, not a curated record. The transcript has 2 exons. NCBI's taxonomy places the organism in Eukaryota, Metazoa, Chordata, Actinopteri, Kurtiformes, Apogonidae.